This 528-nucleotide ribosomal RNA is filed under the name uncultured archaeon. RNAcentral's name for it is "bacterial SSU rRNA". It matches the Rfam family "Archaeal small subunit ribosomal RNA", at positions 102 to 633 of the family's 1478-position model. The record is from RNAcentral.
AGUCAACAUGCCCAGGGGACGUGGAUAACCUCGGGAAACUGAGGAUAAACCGCGAUAGGUCACUACUUCUGGAAUGGGUAAUGACCCAAACCUACAUGGCCCCUGGAUUGGACUGCGGCCGAUCAGGCUGUUGGUGAGGUAAUGGCCCACCAAACCUGUAACCGGUACGGGCUCUGAGAGGAGGAGCCCGGAGAUGGGCACUGAGACAAGGGCCCAGGCCCUAUGGGGCGCAGCAGGCGCGAAACCUCUGCAAUAGGCGAAUGCUUGACAGGGUUACUCUGAGUGAUUUCCGUUAAGGAGAUCUUUUGGCACCUCUAAAAAUGGUGCAGAAUAAGGGGUGGGCAAGUCUGGUGUCAGCCGCCGCGGUAAUACCAGCACCCCGAGUGGUCGGGACGUUUAUUGGGCCUAAAGCAUCCGUAGCCGGUUCUACAAGUCUUCCGUUAAAUCCACCUGCUUAACAGAUGGGCUGCGGAAGAUACUAUGGAGCUAGGAGGCGGGAGAGGCAAGCGGUACUCGAUGGGUAGGGGU